UCGGGAAUUUUGGGCAAUGGGCGAAAGCCUGACCCAGCAACGCCGCGUGAAGGAUGAAGUAUUUCGGUAUGUAAACUUCGAAAGAAUGGGAAGAAUAAAUGACGGUACUAUUUAUAAGGUCCGGCUAACUACGUGCCAGCAGCCGCGGUAAUACGUAGGGACCAAGCGUUGUUCGGAUUUACUGGGCGUAAAGGGCGCGUAGGCGGCAUGACAAGUCACUUGUGAAAUCUCUGGGCUUAACCCAGAACGGCCAAGUGAUACUGUCGCGCUAGAGUGCAGAAGGGGCAAUCGGAAUUCUUGGUGUAGCGGUGAAAUGCGUAGAUAUCAAGAGGAACACCUGAGGUGAAGACGGGUUGCUGGGCUGACACUGACGCUGAGGCGCGAAAGCCAGGGGAGCAAACGGGGAU
This 407-nucleotide ribosomal RNA is filed under the name uncultured bacterium. Its description in RNAcentral is "bacterial SSU rRNA". It matches the Rfam family "Bacterial small subunit ribosomal RNA", at positions 355 to 779 of the family's 1533-position model. The record is from RNAcentral.